This 148-nucleotide non-coding RNA is filed under the name Nomascus leucogenys (northern white-cheeked gibbon). The record is from Rfam by way of RNAcentral. Lineage: Eukaryota; Metazoa; Chordata; Mammalia; Primates; Hylobatidae.
GCCAGGUGUGGUGGUGCGUGCCUGUAAUCCUGGCUACUCGGGAGGCUGAGGCAGUAGACUUGCUUGAACCUGGGAGGUGGAGGUUGCAGUGAGCCAAAAUGGUGCCACUGCACUCCAGCCUGGGUUACAGAGCAAGACUCUGUCUCAA